Molecule: long non-coding RNA, 457 nt
Organism: Schistocerca americana (American grasshopper)
Lineage: Eukaryota; Metazoa; Arthropoda; Insecta; Orthoptera; Acrididae
Exons: 3
Source: RefSeq, a predicted model, not a curated record
UUUUUUUUCUUUUUAAUGGAACUAAAUAAAUCUGUGUUUGGGGAUCUGGUGGCUAAUGGUUUGCAUCAAAAUAGCUCCGUUCCGAACACUGGAAAAAUCCUAUUAACAAAUCUUCACGGUUUUGUGUUGUAGGCGUAGCUUCGGGUAUACGUUGCCUUGACUGUCGCUGGAUUUGCAACGUUUGGAUGACACUUUGCUGAAUGUAAAUACGUAGUAUGGCUGCUUUAAAUGCAGUUGUUUGUGGUUUUGUAUCAGUUUAGUAAGCUGUAGCUUUGAAAGCUCGUUUCCUGUAUGCGGGAUCUUCGUUUUUCGUAAAACUGUGAAGGAAACUGAAAAAAGUCAUUUACAUUUAGGAGGAACGUCUGACUGGUGCUCGGGAACAACAUAUUUAAUCUCUUGAGUCUGCCUGAGAGUGAAUAGCCAGCAUGAAAACCAGAUCUAGUAGCAGAGGCAGAGG